This 500-nucleotide ribosomal RNA is filed under the name uncultured bacterium. Its description in RNAcentral is "partial 16S ribosomal RNA". It matches the Rfam family "Bacterial small subunit ribosomal RNA", at positions 30 to 523 of the family's 1533-position model. The record is from RNAcentral.
AUUGAACGCUGGCGGAAUGCUUUACACAUGCAAGUCGAACGGCAGCACGGACUUCGGUCUGGUGGCGAGUGGCGAACGGGUGAGUAAUGUAUCGGAACGUGCCCAGUCGUGGGGGAUAACGUAGUGAAAAUUACGCUAAUACCGCAUACGAUCUAUGGAUGAAAGCGGGGGAUCGCAAGACCUCGCGCGAUUGGAGCGGCCGAGAUCAGAUUAGGUAGUUGGUGGGGUAAAGGCCCACCAAGCCAACGAUCUGUAGCUGGUCUGAGAGGACGACCAGCCACACUGGAACUGAGACACGGUCCUGACUCCUACGGGAGGCAGCAGUGGGGAAUUUUGGACAAUGGGCGAAAGCCUGAUCCAGCCAUUCCGCGUGCAGGAUGAAGGCCCUCGGGUUGUAAACUGCUUUUGUACAGAACGAAAAGGUUUCUACUAAUACUAGGAGCUCAUGACGGUACUGUAAGAAUAAGCACCGGCUAACUACGUGCCAGCAGCCGCAGUAA